CCCAAAUGAGAUGGUUUGGGAUGAGUUGGACUGCAGAGUGAAGGAAAAACAGCCAACAAGUGCUCAGCAUAUGUGGGAACUCCUUCAAGACUGUUGGAAAAGCAUUCCAGGCCGUCUGCCAGGUCCUGACUGCCUGGUUGGAACAGAUUCUGAACAGGACCUGCAACGACGAUUACAGGGCCAGUGUCGUCAUCCAGAAAGGAUUGGAUUCUGGUGCCAGGGACAGGUUCCCUGACACACCGUGUCCUUCUUCAUCAGAGGAAGAAGAGGUGUUCGCGAGUGUCAUAACUGUCCUCCAUUUGGAGCCCUACACCUCAACCAAGGCAGCAUGGGCAGCUCCUGCAAAGACCCUGGAGGUCAACCCCUGUCUGGAUGAAGAUGAGAGAGUCCCCAGCACCUCCAUGAUUGAGGGGUCCCUGACGACCACUCAGGCAACAUGGGCAGCUCCUGCCCAGACCUUGGAAGAAGAAGUCGGGGGAGCUGAUGUCUCUGAGGUGAGUACCGGCUCCCUGACCCCCACAGAGGCCAGGCAGGACCUCCUGGAGAAGAUUCCCUCUCUCCUGCCGGGUGAGAUCCUCAUCGAAGAGGACAUCCCCCUACGCAGCAGUCCCAGGGACACCGUCAUGAGCCCCCAGACCCUGAAGCUCAUCCUCCAGGGCAUAUUGCACCGACUGGAGGCCUCAGAGUCCCCCCAGGCCAGGAGGGCGAAUGACCCCUUCAGGCUGAUGAAGAAUCUAUUUUUGGAGGUCCACCAUGCCCUUAGGUAUGUUGACAUCGCUGUCCUCUUCAGCCUGGAGGAGAGCAUCCAAUUCAGGGGGGAAGAUGCAAUGAAGGCCAUUGUGAAGGCUGCGGCUAAAAGGUUGUCCCUGCGCUCGGACUCCAACCGGGCUCAACUGCGCGCCGCACGCUAUGGUGGCGAGGGAGCCAUAUGUUGCAUGGCAGACACCAUCGCGCGUGUCAUAGACGACCACGCCCAGGACUGGAGUUCAGACGGCCAUUUUGGAGCGAGGAGGAGCCGUGGUAGUGGGAGGUCAUGCUCCUCCUCAAGCUCCUCAAAGAGUGACAUCACCCUCACAGAGGAACUCUUGGCCCAGGGGGAAACCCUGGAAGAGGACCAAGAGGAGGUGGCUCCGAAAUCUGACUCUGCUAGCUUGGAGAAGGCCAGCAGCAGCUCCCUCUCCACAGACCUUGUGGACAGCACCUCCACACAGACGGUGAAGGACGAGGCAAUGAGGAAGUUAGGAAAGGGGAAGCGAGGUCGCAAGAAGACCCUGAAGAAGAACAAGGUGGCUCCCCUUGGCACUGAUGAUACCGUGGCUGAUGAGCCGGGAAAAAAACAGUCUCUCCUCCUGCAGAUUACAGCUGCCAUGGCAAAACUAUUUUGCCUCCCCUGCAAAAAAAGAAGCGGUAAAAGUAAUUGUGUGGGUAUACCCACUUAGUAGGCACUUCAGUGCACCUGCCUCCUCUACAAACCCAGAGUCAACAGAAGAGGGAGACAAACCCCCCUACUCACAACACAUUUGAUGAUUCCAACCAUACCCCCACGCUAUGGUGGCGAGGGAGCCAUCUGUUGCAUGGCGGACACUAUCACACACGUCAUAGAUGACCAUGCUGAGGAUUGGAGCUCUGACGGCCAUUUUGGAGCCAGGAGGAGCAGUGGUAGUGGGAGAUCAUACUCCUCAACCUCCUCAAGGAGUGACAUCACCCUCACCGAGGAGCUCCUGGCUGAAAGGGCCAAGGAAGGGCACCAAGACGACGUGGCUGAUGACGAACCCCCCCCCAAUAACAAACCAUUACAAACCAUGAUGACUCCCCCCCAUAGCCCGGCCGGACCUAUUUAAUUAAAUAAACAUGUACUUGCAUCUAUUUUUUAACCUCUUUUUUUUGUUUUUUACAGGCCUAAUGUAGACUACAAAUUCUUAAGUGCAAAUUGAUGUGUGUACUGCAUCAAUAUUAUGAGUUCACUGUGCCAGUCAUUAUAGUCAAUCUAGGCUUUAACACUCUUAAGUGUAUUGGUAUUGACACAAUAAGAGUUACAUUUCAGAAUUUUCUAAUUUGGCCUUUCUGAG
This 2069-nucleotide long non-coding RNA is filed under the name Salmo salar (Atlantic salmon). RNAcentral's name for it is "lncRNA (ENSSSAG00000114589.1)". Lineage: Eukaryota; Metazoa; Chordata; Actinopteri; Salmoniformes; Salmonidae. The record is from RNAcentral.